Small nucleolar RNA from Abrus precatorius (Indian licorice), 167 nucleotides. RefSeq annotates it as small nucleolar RNA snoR143. The transcript has a single exon. The record is from RefSeq and is a predicted model, not a curated record. Lineage: Eukaryota; Viridiplantae; Streptophyta; Magnoliopsida; Fabales; Fabaceae.
UUGCACUGUGUAUCAUAGGUCUCUUUGAUUAUUUAGAGUGGCCUUUGAGCUACGGUGCAUAAAAUAAGAGCUGAUUUGUCAGCAGGCAGCCAGACAACUGCUGAGGUGGAUCCACAGAUGAACAGCUUGUUUUAAUGUUGUUUGUCUACUAAUUUCACCUUAAAUUU